GACGAACGCUGGCGGCGUGCUUAACACAUGCAAGUCGAACGGAAAGGCCCUGCUUUUGUGGGGUGCUCGAGUGGCGAACGGGUGAGUAACACGUGAGUAACCUGCCCCUGACUUUGGGAUAACUUCAGGAAACUGGGGCUAAUACCGGCUAGGAGCUCCUGCCGCAUGGUGGGGGUGGGAAAGUUUCGGCGGUUGGGGAUGGACUCGCGGCUUAUCAGCUUGUUGGUGGGGUAGUGGCUUACCAAGGCUUUGACGGGUAGCAGGCCUGAGAGGGUGACCGGCCACAUUGGGACUGAGAUAAGGCCCAGACUCCAACGGGAGGCAGGGGUGGGGAAGAUUGCACAAGGGGCGGAAGCCUGAUGCAGCAACGCCGCGUGCGGGAUGACGGGCAUCGGGUUGUAAACCGCAUUCGCCUGUGACGAAGCGUGAGUGACGGUAAUGGGUAAAGAAGCACCGGCUAACUACGUG
RNAcentral lists this ribosomal RNA (468 nucleotides) under uncultured bacterium. Its description in RNAcentral is "partial 16S ribosomal RNA". It matches the Rfam family "Bacterial small subunit ribosomal RNA", at positions 28 to 507 of the family's 1533-position model. The record is from RNAcentral.